Molecule: non-coding RNA, 594 nt
Organism: Pygocentrus nattereri (red-bellied piranha)
Lineage: Eukaryota; Metazoa; Chordata; Actinopteri; Characiformes; Serrasalmidae
Source: the annotation of a RefSeq genome assembly
AUCUCACUGUCAUUUUCUUUAUCCAUCAUGUUCUUCUGUGCUUUUCUGAUUCCUUCAGUGCUGACAGGUGUCUCUUCUGAAGACUUGAUAACAUCUCAUGGGUCUGUUAAACAUGCCAGAGAUGGUGAGAGUGUUACUCUCUCCUGCAACUACAGUGUUUCUCAAUAUGGCCUGUUUUGGUAUCAUCAAUAUUCCAGAUCCAAACCAGAAUUCCUCCUCUCCACCACUGAAUCUGGAGGAACUGUUAAAGCUGAUCCAGCUGCACAGUUUUCUGCUACAGUUGAUAAAAUUCAGAACAGCAAAGUUCUGAACCUGGUGAUCUCCUCUGCUGCAGUAUCAGACUCUGCACUCUACUACUGUGCCCUGCAGCCCACAGUGACAGGAAACCCAGCUACACUGUAUAAAAACACUGUUUGGAAUGGAGCUCUGUUCUUACUCAUGUUUCUGUGUUUCUGUACAGUGUUGUACUGAUUCACUGCUGCAUUUCACUCUCAAAAAUAUCAACCUUGAAAUCAGUAUUGCUCAUAUUGUAAUGUCACAAACAAUAGUUGAGAAAAUUUUAAAAGCACAGAUGUUUUGGAUUAUAAAAAUCUU